This 618-nucleotide ribosomal RNA is filed under the name Allomyces macrogynus. RNAcentral describes it as "eukaryotic LSU rRNA". It matches the Rfam family "Eukaryotic large subunit ribosomal RNA", at positions 80 to 614 of the family's 3401-position model. The record is from RNAcentral. Lineage: Eukaryota; Fungi; Blastocladiomycota; Blastocladiomycetes; Blastocladiales; Blastocladiaceae.
CGAGUAAUGGCGAAUGAAACGGGAAAAGCCCAAAUUUGAAAUCUCCUAGCUUUUAUCGCUAGGCGAGUUGUAAUUUGUAGAAGGUCUUCAUCUGAACUGUGUUUGCUAAAGUCCAUUGGAAAAUGGCGGGCCUUUAUGGUCCUCAAGUCGUAGAGGGUGACAACCCCGUUCUUGGCAUUCUACUAGUUCUUUUGUAUGAUUCCUUCAAAGAGUCGGAUUGUUUGGGAAUGCAAUCCAAAACGGGUGGUAAAUUCCAUCCAAGGCUAAAUAUUAGCAAGAGACCGAUAGCGAACAAGUACCGUGAGGGAAAGAUGAAAAGAACUCUGAAGAGAGAGUUCAACAGUACGUGAAAUUGCUGAAAGGGAAACGCUUGAAACGAUUGUUGCUUUUGGUUUCGGCCUUGAGCGAGUCAGCAGCAGUUUUAAACGGUAAAGAAGUGCUUGUGGAAGGUAGUUUUCUUUGGAAAAUGUUAUAGCCAUAAGUAACUGUGCCGGUUAGGACUGAGGAUCGCUUUUAAGUGUCUUGUCGAGGAAUUUUGGGCCGUUAGCGCCAAGGCCUUGGGCUUGCUCAAGACUUGGUGUUAACUGUUCAGGACGACCAAACACAAGGCCUUAAAAU